This 1575-nucleotide ribosomal RNA is filed under the name Escherichia coli. RNAcentral's name for it is "bacterial LSU rRNA". It matches the Rfam family "Bacterial large subunit ribosomal RNA", at positions 1252 to 2812 of the family's 2925-position model. The record is from RNAcentral. Lineage: Bacteria; Pseudomonadati; Pseudomonadota; Gammaproteobacteria; Enterobacterales; Enterobacteriaceae.
GAAGGUGUGCUGUGAGGCAUGCUGGAGGUAUCAGAAGUGCGAAUGCUGACAUAAGUAACGAUAAAGCGGGUGAAAAGCCCGCUCGCCGGAAGACCAAGGGUUCCUGUCCAACGUUAAUCGGGGCAGGGUGAGUCGACCCCUAAGGCGAGGCCGAAAGGCGUAGUCGAUGGGAAACAGGUUAAUAUUCCUGUACUUGGUGUUACUGCGAAGGGGGGACGGAGAAGGCUAUGUUGGCCGGGCGACGGUUGUCCCGGUUUAAGCGUGUAGGCUGGUUUUCCAGGCAAAUCCGGAAAAUCAAGGCUGAGGCGUGAUGACGAGGCACUACGGUGCUGAAGCAACAAAUGCCCUGCUUCCAGGAAAAGCCUCUAAGCAUCAGGUAACAUCAAAUCGUACCCCAAACCGACACAGGUGGUCAGGUAGAGAAUACCAAGGCGCUUGAGAGAACUCGGGUGAAGGAACUAGGCAAAAUGGUGCCGUAACUUCGGGAGAAGGCACGCUGAUAUGUAGGUGAAGUCCCUCGCGGAUGGAGCUGAAAUCAGUCGAAGAUACCAGCUGGCUGCAACUGUUUAUUAAAAACACAGCACUGUGCAAACACGAAAGUGGACGUAUACGGUGUGACGCCUGCCCGGUGCCGGAAGGUUAAUUGAUGGGGUCAGCGCAAGCGAAGCUCUUGAUCGAAGCCCCGGUAAACGGCGGCCGUAACUAUAACGGUCCUAAGGUAGCGAAAUUCCUUGUCGGGUAAGUUCCGACCUGCACGAAUGGCGUAAUGAUGGCCAGGCUGUCUCCACCCGAGACUCAGUGAAAUUGAACUCGCUGUGAAGAUGCAGUGUACCCGCGGCAAGACGGAAAGACCCCGUGAACCUUUACUAUAGCUUGACACUGAACAUUGAGCCUUGAUGUGUAGGAUAGGUGGGAGGCUUUGAAGUGUGGACGCCAGUCUGCAUGGAGCCGACCUUGAAAUACCACCCUUUAAUGUUUGAUGUUCUAACGUGGACCCGUAAUCCGGGUUGCGGACAGUGUCUGGUGGGUAGUUUGACUGGGGCGGUCUCCUCCUAAAGAGUAACGGAGGAGCACGAAGGUUGGCUAAUCCUGGUCGGACAUCAGGAGGUUAGUGCAAUGGCAUAAGCCAGCUUGACUGCGAGCGUGACGGCGCGAGCAGGUGCGAAAGCAGGUCAUAGUGAUCCGGUGGUUCUGAAUGGAAGGGCCAUCGCUCAACGGAUAAAAGGUACUCCGGGGAUAACAGGCUGAUACCGCCCAAGAGUUCAUAUCGACGGCGGUGUUUGGCACCUCGAUGUCGGCUCAUCACAUCCUGGGGCUGAAGUAGGUCCCAAGGGUAUGGCUGUUCGCCAUUUAAAGUGGUACGCGAGCUGGGUUUAGAACGUCGUGAGACAGUUCGGUCCCUAUCUGCCGUGGGCGCUGGAGAACUGAGGGGGGCUGCUCCUAGUACGAGAGGACCGGAGUGGACGCAUCACUGGUGUUCGGGUUGUCAUGCCAAUGGCACUGCCCGGUAGCUAAAUGCGGAAGAGAUAAGUGCUGAAAGCAUCUAAGCACGAAACUUGCCCCGAGAUGAGUUCU